Molecule: ribosomal RNA, 468 nt
Filed under: uncultured bacterium
Lineage: Bacteria
Description: partial 16S ribosomal RNA
Rfam family: Bacterial small subunit ribosomal RNA
Source: RNAcentral
GACGAACGCUGGCGGCGUGCUUAACACAUGCAAGUCGAACGGAAAGGCCCUGCUUUUGUGGGCUGCUCGAGUGGCACACGGGUGAGUAACACGUGAGUAACCUGCCCUUGACUUUGGGAUAACUUCAGGAAACUGGGGCUAAUACCGGAUAGCAGCUCCUGCUGCAUGGUGGGGGUUGGAAAGUUUCGGCGGUUGGGGAUGGACUCGCGGCUUAUCAGCUUGUUGGUGGGGUAGUGGCUUACCCAGGGUUUGACGGGUAGCCGGCCUGAGAGGGUGACCGGGCACAUGGGGACUGAGAUACGGCCCAGACGCCUACGGGAGGCAGCAGUGGGGAAUAUUGCACAAUGGGCGGAAGCCUGAUGCAGCAACGCCGCGGGCGGGAUGACGGCUUGCGGGGGGUAAACCGCUUUCGCCUGUGACGAAGCGUGAGUGACGGUAAUGGGUAAAGAAGCACCGGCUAACUACGUG